UACGUAGGGUGCAAGCGUUAUCCGGAAUUAUUGGGCGUAAAGAGCUCGUAGGCGGUUUGUCGCGUCUGCUGUGAAAACCCGGGGCUCAACUCCGGGCCUGCAGUCGAUACGGGCUGGCUUGAGUGCGGUAGGGGAGAUCGGAAUUCCUGGUGUAGCGGUGAAAUGCGCAGAUAUCAGGAGGAACACCGGUGGCGAAGGCGGAUCUCUGGGCCUUACCUGACGCUCAGGCGCGAAAGCUAGGGGAGCGAACUGG
Molecule: ribosomal RNA, 253 nt
Filed under: uncultured bacterium
Lineage: Bacteria
Description: partial 16S ribosomal RNA
Rfam family: Bacterial small subunit ribosomal RNA
Source: RNAcentral